GAUGAACGCUGGCGGCGUGCCUAAUACAUGCAAGUCGAGCGAACAGACGAGGAGCUUGCUCCUCUGACGUUAGCGGCGGACGGGUGAGUAACACGUGGAUAACCUACCUAUAAGACUGGGAUAACUUCGGGAAACCGGAGCUAAUACCGGAUAAUAUAUUGAACCGCAUGGUUCAAUAGUGAAAGACGGUUUUGCUGUCACUUAUAGAUGGAUCCGCGCCGCAUUAGCUAGUUGGUAAGGUAACGGCUUACCAAGGCAACGAUGCGUAGCCGACCUGAGAGGGUGAUCGGCCACACUGGAACUGAGACACGGUCCAGACUCCUACGGGAGGCAGCAGUAGGGAAUCUUCCGCAAUGGGCGAAAGCCUGACGGAGCAACGCCGCGUGAGUGAUGAAGGUCUUCGGAUCGUAAAACGAUGUUAUUAGGGAAGAGCAAAUGUGUAAGUAACUAUGCACGUCUUGACGGUACCUAAGCAGAAAGCCACGGCUAACUACGU
This 496-nucleotide ribosomal RNA is filed under the name uncultured bacterium. Its description in RNAcentral is "partial 16S ribosomal RNA". It matches the Rfam family "Bacterial small subunit ribosomal RNA", at positions 28 to 506 of the family's 1533-position model. The record is from RNAcentral.